UAGGGAAUCUUCGGCAAUGGACGGAAGUCUGACCGAGCAACGCCGCGUGAGUGAAGAAGGUUUUCGGAUCGUAAAGCUCUGUUGUUAGAGAAGAACGUUGGUAGGAGUGGAAAAUCUACCAAGUGACGGUAACUAACCAGAAAGUGACGGCUAACUACGUGCCAGCAGCCGCGGUAAUACGUAGGUCCCGAGCGUUGUCCGGAUUUAUUGGGCGUAAAGCGAGCGCAGUCGGUUCUUUAAGUCUGAAGUUAAAGGCAGUGGCUUAACCAUUGUACGCUUUGGAAACUGGGAGACUUGAGUGCAGGAGGGGAGAGUGGAAUUCCAUGUGUAGCGGUGAAAUGCGUAGAUGUAUGGAGGAAAACCGGUGGCGUAGGCCGCUCUCUGGUAUGUAACUGACGCUGAGGCUCGAAAGGGUGGGGAGCAAACAGG
RNAcentral lists this ribosomal RNA (429 nucleotides) under Bacillota bacterium. RNAcentral describes it as "Firmicutes bacterium partial 16S ribosomal RNA". It matches the Rfam family "Bacterial small subunit ribosomal RNA", at positions 355 to 776 of the family's 1533-position model. The record is from RNAcentral. Lineage: Bacteria; Bacillati; Bacillota.